AACGAACGCUGGCGGCAUGCCUAACACAUGCAAGUCGAACGAGACCUUCGGGUCUAGAGGCGCACGGGUGCGUAAAGCGUGGGAACCUGCCCUGAGGUUCGGAAUAACUCCCCGAAAGGAGCGCGAAUACCGGAUACUGUUUUCGGACCAAAGAUUUAUCGCCUUUGGAUGGGCCCGCGUUGUAUUAGCUAGUUGGUAGGGUAAAACCCUACCAAGGCGACGAUCCAUAGUUGGUCUGCGAGGGUGAUCAGCCACACGGGGACUGAGACACGGCCCAGACUCCUACGGGAGGCAGCAGUGGGGAAUAUUGGACAAUGGGCGAAAGCCUGAUCCAGCAAUGCCGGGUGAGGGAUGAAGGCCUGAGGGUUGUAAAGCUCUUUUACCCGGGAUGAUAAUGACAGUACCGGGAGAAUAAGCUCCGGCUAACUCCGUG
Molecule: ribosomal RNA, 433 nt
Filed under: uncultured bacterium
Lineage: Bacteria
Description: partial 16S ribosomal RNA
Rfam family: Bacterial small subunit ribosomal RNA
Source: RNAcentral